This 292-nucleotide ribosomal RNA is filed under the name uncultured bacterium. Its description in RNAcentral is "partial 16S ribosomal RNA". The record is from RNAcentral.
GGACUACCAGGGUAUCUAAUCCGGUUCGCUCCCCACGCUUUCGCGUCUCAGCGUCAGGAAAGGCCCAGAGAGCCGCCUUCGCCACUGGUGUUCCUCCCGAUAUCUACGCAUAUCACCACUACACCGGGAAUUCCACUCUCCUCUACCUCCCUCAAGUCUGCCAGUAUCCAAGGACCUCUCCCAGUUAAGCCGGGAGCUUUCACCCUGAACUUAGCAAACCGCCUGCACGCCCUUUACGCCCAGUAAAUCCGGACAACGCUUGCCACCUACGUAUUACCGCGGCUGCUGGCAC